AUACGGAGGGGACUAGCGCUGUUCGGAAUUACUGGGCGUAAAGCGUACGUAGGCGGAUCAGAAAGUAUGGGGUGAAAUCCCAGGGCUCAACCCUGGAACUGCCUCAUAAACUCCUGGUCUUGAGUUCGAGAGAGGUGAGUGGAAUUCCGAGUGUAGAGGUGAAAUUCGUAGAUAUUCGGAGGAACACCAGUGGCGAAGGCGGCUCACUGGCUCGAUACUGACGCUGAGGUACGAAAGUGUGGGGAGCAAACAGGAUUAGAUACCCCAGUAGUCC
Molecule: ribosomal RNA, 274 nt
Filed under: uncultured bacterium
Lineage: Bacteria
Description: partial 16S ribosomal RNA
Rfam family: Bacterial small subunit ribosomal RNA
Source: RNAcentral